GCCAGGCAUGGUGGCGCAUGCCUCUAGUCCCAGCUACUCGGGAGGCUGAGGUGGGAGGAUCGCUUAAGCCCAGGAGUUCUGGGCUGUAAUGUGCUAUGCCCAUUGGGUGUCUGCACUAAGUUAGGCAUCAAUAUGGUGACCUCCUGGGAGUGGGGGACCACCAGGUUGCCUAAGGAGGGGUGAAGCGGCCCAGGUCGGAAACGGAGCAGGUCAAAACUCCCAUGCAGAUCAGUAGUGGGAUUGUGCCUGUGAAGAGACACUGCACUCCAGCCUGGGCAACAUAGUGAGACCCCGUAUCUA
Molecule: unclassified non-coding RNA, 300 nt
Organism: Callithrix jacchus (white-tufted-ear marmoset)
Lineage: Eukaryota; Metazoa; Chordata; Mammalia; Primates; Cebidae
Rfam family: Metazoan signal recognition particle RNA
About the family: The signal recognition particle (SRP) is a universally conserved ribonucleoprotein. It is involved in the co-translational targeting of proteins to membranes. The eukaryotic SRP consists of a 300-nucleotide 7S RNA and six proteins: SRPs 72, 68, 54, 19, 14, and 9.
Source: Ensembl